Molecule: ribosomal RNA, 700 nt
Filed under: Bacillus sp. MEP_012
Lineage: Bacteria; Bacillati; Bacillota; Bacilli; Caryophanales; Bacillaceae
Description: bacterial SSU rRNA
Rfam family: Bacterial small subunit ribosomal RNA
Source: RNAcentral
UAAGUCUGAUGUGAAAGCCCACGGCUCAACCGUGGAGGGUCAUUGGAAACUGGGGAACUUGAGUGCAGAAGAGAAAAGCGGAAUUCACGUGUAGCGGUGAAAUGCGUAGAGAUGUGGAGGAACACCAGUGGCGAAGGCGGCUCUUUGGUCUGUAACUGACGCUGAGGCGCGAAAGCGUGGGGAGCAAACAGGAUUAGAUACCCUGGUAGUCCACGCCGUAAACGAUGAGUGGUAAGUGUUAGAGGGUUUCCGCCCUUUAGUGUUGCAGGUAACGCAUUAAGCACUCCGCCUGGGGAGUACGGUCGCAAGACUGAAAAUCAAAGGAAUUGACGGGGGCCCGCACAAGCGGUGGAGCAUGUGGUUUAAUUUGAAGCAACGCGAAGAACCUUACCAGGUCUUGACAUCCUCUGACAACUUUAGAGAUAGAGCGUUCCCCUUCGGGGGAUAGAGUGACAGGUGGUGCAUGGUUGUCGUCAGUUCGUGUCGUGAGAUGUUGGGUUAAGUCCCGCAACGAGCGCAACCCUUGAUUUUAGUUGCCAGCAUUUAGUUGGGCACUCUAAGGUGACUGCCGGUGACAAACCGGAGGAAGGUGGGGAUGACGUCAAGUCAUCAUGCCCCUUAUGACCAGGGCUACACACGUGCUACAAUGGAUGGUACAAAGGGAUGCAAGACCGCGAGGUCAAGCCAACCCCAUAAAACC